AAAAGAAAAUAACAAUGAUUCCCUCAGUAACGGCGAGCGAAGAGGGAUAAGCUCAAAUUUUAAAUCUGUUGGGUUUCACUUAACAGAGUUGUAUUUUGAAGAAACGUUUUCUGCGUCCAGGAUUAGCCUAAAUCCUUUGGGAUAAGGUAUCAUGGAGGGUGAGAAUCCCGUUCAUGGUUAAUCUUAAGGAAGCUCUACGAUACGUUUUCCAAGAGUCGAGUUGUUUGGGAUUGCAGCUCAAAAUGGGAGGUAAAUUUCUCCUAAGGCUAAAUAUUGGCGAGAGACCGAUAGCGAACAAGUACCGUGAGGGAAAGAUGAAAAGAACUUUGAAAAGAGAGUUAAACAGUACGUGAAAUUGUUGAAAGGGAAACGAUUGAAGUCAGUCAUACCAACGGGAAAUCAACCUUUUGAGCUCGGUCUCGUGGGUUUUGAAGAGUUUCAAAGCCUUCGGAUUCGCGGGAUUGGGAUCUCUCGGUGUACUUUUUCGUACGGUUAGUCAACAUCGGUUUUGAAUGUCAUAAAAUGACUGGAGGAAUGUGCUUCCGAUCUCGUAUUGAAGUGUUAUAGCCUUUGGUAGAUGUGAUGUUUGAGACCGAGGAUUGCAACGGAUACCCUUCAGGGCUAUUCGUCUGAUCUCUGAUACGUUGCCUUGAUGUCGAAAGCUUGCUUAUGAUGUUAGGGUAUUACGGUCAAAAGGUUAGAACGAAUUACAUUCGUUAAGGAUGUUGACGUAAUGACUUUAAACGACCCGUUUUGAAACACGGACCAAGGAGUUUAACAUAUAUGCGAGUGUUUGGGUGAUUAAACCCUUGCGCGUAAUGAAAGUAAUUUUGGUGAGAUCCGGGAAAAAUUUUCGGAGCAUCAUCGACCGAUC
This 874-nucleotide ribosomal RNA is filed under the name Funneliformis mosseae. RNAcentral's name for it is "LSU rRNA". It matches the Rfam family "Eukaryotic large subunit ribosomal RNA", at positions 57 to 770 of the family's 3401-position model. Lineage: Eukaryota; Fungi; Glomeromycota; Glomeromycetes; Glomerales; Glomeraceae. The record is from RNAcentral.